Molecule: small nuclear RNA, 130 nt
Organism: Trichosurus vulpecula (common brushtail)
Lineage: Eukaryota; Metazoa; Chordata; Mammalia; Diprotodontia; Phalangeridae
Source: RefSeq, a predicted model, not a curated record
GUGUUGUAUGAAAAGAAAGAAAAUUAGUACUCCCCUUGCUAAGCAUGGAAGAGCUCCUAGUGACCUUUACAACAUAUGUGCAUCAAGUCACCACAUAUUUAUUAAGUAUUUACUAUGUGCCAAGCACUGU